RNAcentral lists this long non-coding RNA (23090 nucleotides) under Eucalyptus grandis. RNAcentral describes it as "long non-coding RNA (EGRA_LNC004548)". The record is from RNAcentral. Lineage: Eukaryota; Viridiplantae; Streptophyta; Magnoliopsida; Myrtales; Myrtaceae.
GUGAGGAGGAUCAAGCUGGGGUCGCAGGGCCUGGAGGUGACGGCGCAGGGGCUGGGCUGCAUGGGUAUGUCCGCCUUCUACGGCCCUCCCAAGUCCGACCCCGACAUGAUCGCCCUCAUCCACCACGCCGUCGGCUCCGGCGUCACCUUCCUCGACACCUCCGACGUCUACGGCCCCCACACCAACGAAAUCCUCCUCGGAAAGGUCGGUUCUCUCAGUCUCUCUUUUGCCUCCGCAUGAAUUAUAUAGGGGAUUUAGCUUCAUCGAGCAGUGUGCUCCGAUCCUGCGCCUUGGUUUUCUGAUUUCGGGGUUGAUUUUGAGCAGGCACUGAAGGGAGGGGUGAGGCAGAAGGUGGAAUUGGCGACCAAGUUCGGAAUCAGCUUCGCGGACGGGAAGAGGGAGAUCCGGGGUGAUCCGGCGUACGUGAGGGCGGCUUGCGAGGCCAGCUUGAAGCGGCUCGACAUCGAUUGCAUCGACCUCUACUACCAACAUCGCAUCGACACUCGCGUCCCCAUCGAAGUCACUGUAUGGAUCCCUCAUCAAACCUUUACCUCUCUUAAGACAUUCUCCGAGUGAUCAGUUGCUAAAUUAGAUUGGUGUUGAUGAUGCAUCAUCAUCAAGAUAUCGUUAAAUGAGACUUGAGUUCAGAUGAUAGCAGAGUUCAAGAUGCGGCACGGUGUUGUUCAAGGGAUUGUGGAAUUUAGUAGUUUAUAUGGCUUGAGUUUUUGUUUUAUGGGUCAACAAGCAUGAAAAUUAUUUGAAUUCUUUAUUUGAGAUGAAAGUGCUCCAGGGUUCAUCCUGAUUUAUAUCUGAGAAUCACAUUUGAAGUUGUUCCUGGACUUUCUGCGGAGACAUUUGGUUCUUGACAUGUCAUUGUGAAUUAUGACAAGUACUUGGAAUACUUCUUUAAUUUGCCUUCUUCUGUAAUAGAUUAGAGAGAUCCACCUCCGUUAACGCAAUACCUUGCGACUUUCUUGUUGCAUUGAGAUGCACAAAGAUUGACUAUUUUUUGCUGGGAGCUACCUAGUCAAAUUGUAAUGUUUGAGAAGUCAGGGAACACAAACUAUUCAGGCAUCAGGACACAAGAAAAACUAAUGAUGUUCAAUAAUUUCUGGACUUAACAUGUAAGAUCUUGACGAUUGUUGUUUUUUCAUGUGAAUAUGCACAGAUUGGAGAGCUAAAGAAGCUCGUUGAAGAGGGUAAGAUCAAGUACAUCGGUUUAUCCGAGGCCUCUGCGUCAACAAUCAGAAGAGCACAUGCUGUUCAUCCCAUCACAGCGGUGCAACUGGAGUGGUCGCUGUGGUCAAGAGAUGUGGAGGCAGAGAUCAUUCCCACGUGCAGGUAGGAUAUCACUGUUUAUUUGUUUAUGCAGUAACAACAUCUUUCUUCUGACUCUGCUCUUCCUUUAAAAUGUUGACUAGGGAGCUUGGCAUUGGAAUUGUUGCCUACAGUCCUCUUGGACGAGGAUUCCUUUCUGUUGGCUCCAAGUUGGUGGAGAAUCUCUCCAAGGAUGACUUCAGACAGGUCUGUUUCUGCUGGUCAACAUAAUUAGAUGCUCACAGUGACUGUCAUUCCCAUUGAAGUGCUGGAAACCUGUUCUUAUGCUAUAAAGAAAAAGUAUCUGGAUGUUAUGAAUAAAACUUUAUGACACAAACGCUUCAUAUUCUUAUUCGAUCCAGCACUCGCCAGUCAUCCCACCUCUCGUGAUUCUAGAUAAAUUUAAAAAUCACAAGUAAUGGCUUUAAUGAGCCUGAAAGGGGCAGUUUCCCAGAUUCUUGUGCUUUUGGGAAUGAAUAAAUAUAGGUUUAUUUGUAAGUUGCUCCGUUUCCCAGCUUUCCCACCAUUUGCUAAUCACUAUCCUUUCCCCGCUUUCCACCCACCCUUUUUCUCUCAAUUCUUUAGAAGAUUAGCAAUAUUUGCUCAAAAUAACCGACACCAAUAUUGGGCCUUGGCCUCCGUCCUUUUUUUUUUCUCAUUUUUCUUCACAAGAUAAAUUAUAUCUUGACACAACCAUUUCUUGAGUGAGGACUCCCUAACACCCUUCUUAUGGUAGUUUUGGGAUCAAGUUCCCAUCUGACAUAAAGCCAAUUGUGUAUUACUCCCGGCCAUUAGUGUUUGACUAGCGAUAGUGCUGGGCAAGUGAAGUAGCUAUUUUUCUUUAUAGCUAAAAGAGCUUUGCGUCUGAUAACAUUCUUCUACACGUCAUCUACCUUUUGUGAUUUUUUUUUCUUAUGUGUAUCAUACGUACAAAACUUAGAUUGUCGAGUUUGUUUCUGUUUUCACAUCCUACAUCAAACCCAUCAGCCUUGUGUGGUAGUUGCUAGAUCACUUGGCUUGGCGUUUCUAAUGCUUAUGAUUUGGGGCUAGAUUUUUUAAUCAUUUCAAGAUAAUCUAUAACUGAUCAUGCUUUUCCAGGUACACAACAAUUGUGCACUUCUAAAUGCUUAUUAUGUCAAGUAACAAGGCAAUCUGUUGGCAUGCAAUGCGAUCACUUUUGCACCUGUUGCUGUAGAAUUUGGCCUUAAAAGGAAAAUGAUAGUUGCUCAUAUGCUUUCUGCUGAGACAUUGCUCUAUGUUAUGCAGUACCUACCAAGGUUCCGGCCAGAGAACUUGGCUCACAACACAAAGUUAUUCGACCGAGUGAAUGAAAUUGCACAAAGAAAGGGAUGCACCCCGUCGCAGUUAGCCCUCGCCUGGGUACACCACCAGGGUGAUGAUGUUUGCCCAAUUCCUGGCACGACCAAGAUUGAGAAUUUCAACCAGAACAUCGGAGCUCUAUCAGUGAAGCUUACACCGGAAGAGAUGGCGGAGCUCGAAUCGAUUGCUUCUGCAGACAAUGUCAAGGGUGGCAGGUACGAUGGAAACCUCUCUACAUGGGAAAACUCCGACACUCCACCCCUUUCUUCUUGGAAACCUGCCUAGAAACAUGUCUACUUCUUUUGCUGCGUCUUUGAUAUGCAGAGUUUGUGCAUUUGCCGCUGAAGUAAUUUGAGGCUAUGUUGUGUGGCUUUUAUAAGUAUGUGUAAUAAGAGUGACUGUUUUCGUUUUGUACAACAUGUGACAUUCACUAUGAGAAGAUUAUGGAUAUGUACUAAGCUUACUGGGGAAAGAUCACUCGAUAAACACAAGAGCGAGUUGAAUAUGAACUGAGCCUGCCAUGCCGACUUUAUCGGGGUGACUUUUAGAAUCUGAGAAAUCGGGAUUUUGAAGAAUUCAAACUCAGUCGUACAUACUAAGUGACGCUUUAUUCUCCUCCAACCAUGAGUUCAAUACUAACACCGUGUGCAACAUACUCUUAAGACUGGAUGCUACACAUAGAUACAAUGCUUCGCUUUGUGUUUGGUUUGGUAGCGAAGUAAAGGAACAGUAAAAUGUUACCGGAUGUUCUCGCAAAAACAAAGUUUGGGAUAAAAUGCUGGCGUAGUUGAUAUGAGUGUCGGGGAAAUCAAAGGUUUCUUGUUCAAGUUUCACCACCUACGGUGCAUGAGCUUUUAUGUAGCUCGAUACCUUUGCUCAUGCCUCUGCAUUAUUAUAAAACAGUCGGAGAUAUUGCGCAAGUUUCCUAAAAUUAAAAACGACACUUCUAUUGUUUUUUAUUUGGAAUUAGAGUGGAGCAAUGUUGUUUUGUUUUGGUUUAGGAAAAUAACGCAAAUAGUCAUUAAACUUUGGUCCAAUGUGUUAUGUUCUUACUGAACUUUUAAUUUAUUUAGUAUGGUUGUCGAACUUUUUGUACAUGUUUAAUUUAGAUCCUAGGCUAGAUAAAUCUAAUGACGCUGUGUUUGGUCGUUCGAACAUCUUUGCUAUAUGGGAUAAUGAUAGGAUAAAAAUCCCAUCUAAUAUUUCUUGACGUCCGGAUAUAACAUGAUUCAAAUAAAACAAAUUUAAAUGAGUGUUUGAUUUGUAUAAUUAAAAUUAAAAGUAAACCAUGGAAGUCGUGAAUAGUAUUCAUCCUUUCACAAUCUUCAUCGAUAUUAAACACCCCCGUUCCAUGUGACUUCAAGGACGCUCUCCUUCUGCAACGCCCCUUUCGCUGCCCUUGAUCAACUUGAUGGAUUACGCUCGCUCUACCUUUGACUUCGCCACAUUGAGAGGCCCUUGGGUUUGAGUUCUCCGCUGGUCUAGCCAUCUUUACUUUCAACGCCUUUUCCUGCGAUGAAUCCAUCCCCUUCGAUGAGUGUGAAUACUGCGUUGAUUCCCUGUUACCGUGUCCCGACUUGUUCAGUCACUUCAACAGCUUCCCCGAGACAGCGUGCGGAUCCGGUUUAUGAGUGGUAGCAGCAUCGGUACAACUCGCUCCAAGUGACGUGGUUGAGGAGCUCUAUCACCUUGGCUGCUGCCUCUUUCGGAUCAUCUUCUUCACAGAGGAGGUGUCCAGCUUUGAUCGGGAUCACAAAGUUCCCAACUAAAAUGGAGUUAAGUGACAUAAGAAAGAGGCAGGGCUGACGAGCUCCGGCGCCACUUUUCCGAGGCAGCCAAAGGUGGUAAGCAGCUUGUCACUGGUAGGAGGAACGGUGGCCCUUAGAGUUUGCUCAGGUCGUUGUGGCGAGGGCUUCUCUAGGUAUCUUCGUGAUACUCAUGCUUUAAGUUUGUGGUGGUCAUUUUAGCGAGAAAAAUCGGAACGAGAGAGAGAUGAUGGUGGCACUGGUAAAAAAUGAGGAUAAGCCAUCAACAAGCGCAGGAGUGGGGGAAAAACUUGUAUCCCUUAUUUUUUCAAUUUUCCAAAUUUCACAUAUCCUAUCUAGAUCUAUAUCACUUUUUAGAUGGGAUUUUUUAUCCAGACUAUAUCUAAAUUUCACUAACAUCGGGACCCCUAGAGUGCCAAAAGUUUGCACAAAAAGACAAUUAAGUGUCAAAAGUUAUGAAAAUGACACUUAAGUGCUAAAAUUGGAAUAAAAUAGAUCACUUAAGUGCAAAUCUGGUCAAAAUAUUGACAUGACAAUUUUCCAGCAAAACAAGUGCAAAACGGUGUCGUUUUGGUGCUGACAUGGAAAAAAUUAAUACAAAAAUUAAUUAAAUGAAAUUUAAAAUUAAAUUUAAUUAAAACAUUUAAAAAUAAAAAUACAAAAAUUUUAAAAAAGGAGAGAGGCGGUUGAGGGCUGAGCCCUUGUCGCUAGGAAGGGUCGGAGAUGGAGGGGGGAGGGUUAGCCGGGGUUGCCGGGCCCUAGGCCAGGGGCCGGCGACCUCGGCCAACUGGUGGCAAGGGCCCGCGAGCCCUCGCCUAGUUUUGGGGCGAGGGUUGCGGCCCUCACCUAGUUGAGCCAAGGGCCGCCGAUCCUCGCAGAAUCUGGGUGAGGGCUGCAACCCUUACUAGAUUUGGGCAAGGGCUCGUGAGCCCUCGCUGCCGGUUAGUUGGGGUCGCUGGCCCCUAGCUAGGGCUCAGCGACCAUGGUUGACCCUCCCCCCUCCGUCGUUGACCCUUCACGGUGACGACAGCGAUGGCUCAACCCUUAGCUACCUCCCCUCCCCCCCUCUUUGUCUCUCUGUCUCUGUCUCUCUCUGUCUAUAUAUAUAAAUAUUUAUGAUUUUUUAAUACUUGUAUUUGUAUUUUUAAAUGUUUUAAAUAAAUUUAAUUUUACAUUUAAUUUAAUUUACAUUAUUUUUUUACCAUAUUAACACCAAAACGACGUCAUUUUUGCAUUGUCUAGCUACGACAGUGUGCAAAAUGAUGCCGUUUUGCACUUACUUCGCCAGAAAUUGCGUACAUCAGAGCCAUGAUUUCGUUUGUAAUAAUAUCCGUUCCAUAUGCUUAAUAGGUGAAUCCAAUGCUGAGAAGGUUUCUUCACAUCAUGACAGAUCUAGAAAUACUAGAAGCAUCUGUUUCUCUUACUGCAUCUCCAUCUUUUUCAACCCCUUCAGAUUUUCAUGUUUUAAAUGCUUCUAAGAUAUACUAUCUCUAUGAAAUCUCUCUUAGCGAUGAAACCAAAAUCUCUGAAACUUAACUUUCCCUGAUGAACUCAUAUUUUGCUUUUGCUAAACCCACCUCAUCCUUUUCUCCCAUUCGUUCCAUUCGCCAACUUAUUCGCCAAACUCCAAAGGAAGUAAAUGAGUACGUUAAGUCCUUCAAGUUCGACCAACAUCCCAUUCUCGCCAUUGAAAAUGAGUACUUUGUUACUCUCUAGAUUCCUCCAGAGUUUCCUAGGCAAUAGAUUCAAAAAGGAUAGUCUCAUGUCCAUUAUGGAGUUGUUCGUCUUGCUCUUACUUUUUAUGGCCGCAAGGGCUUGCCAGUUGUGGCAAGAAUAGCAUUACUGGAUACUAGAUUUCUAAAGUACUAGUAUACUUGUAUCAGUACUAUCCAAACCACUUUAAAUGUUGGAAUAGUUUUUGUGACUUUGUAUCCAAAUUUCAAUUUGCUCUUUCAAAUCCACAGUUACUUUCCUUUUUGAAAGUCUAAGUUUAGCUCACUGGAGCACCUCAGACAGCUGAUUCUGUUGUUGCAACACUACACUACUAGAUCGUUUAUUAAGUGCAGAACCAUGCUCUUGACUUGAAUUUCCACAAUGAAAAUGAAGAUGCUUUAUUCAUCUCCAUGCAAAAUGAUCAUGCAUCCUGCAUUCAUGUUCCCAGACAUAUCCCAAAGGAAAAGUUGCCAAGCUUCUUCUAGAGACUUGGAUCACUAACUAUGAAAAGUUACAUCAGAAUAACAAACCUUUCUAGUCUUCAGACUUUGAAUUUGUCAGAAAGAAAGAUGGAACUGUUUCCAUCAAAUUUGGCAAGGAAAAUAAAGAAAUUCUUUUUAUCUUCCAAAUCCUCUUUAUGAUCGAACCAUGUGUUCCGAGCUAGAUAAAAAAAAAAGAAGCUUGUUUAAUACUUCAAAAGUGAUUAACAUCAUGUCCAUUACUACAAAGACUAGUAUGGUCACUGUUUCUAAGAUCCUUUUUGUCAAUGUUCUUUUUGCACAAACUCUCCCGACGAGGUAGACCCAUAUGCAAGACCUCGACGGAAGCAUAAGAAGCCAAAAGAUCCUAUGUACCAAAGGUACUUGAAUGGAGAUCCCUCCGUUGAUACUCUUGGUGAGUGUGAUAAAUUCUAGUUUAUGGUUUCCUAUACACCAACUCCACCACCAGAGUUCAUUACUCCACUAAUAUCACCAAGUUCAUCACCAUCACCUCCUCCAUCUCCUCCAAAAAAAAAAGAAAACCAACUCUUUCCCCAUUUUAUAAGCCAAUCUUAAAGUGGGCGAAUAAAUAUUCCUACCCACUUGAGGCUCUAGCAGAACACCACCAAGUUCUUUCAUAGCCAUGUUCCAUGAGACAUACUUUCCUCUUUUUAUUCGAGAAAGUUAUAAUCUCGUUUCCUGCUCCAAAAGAAUUCAUUGAUCUACAAGGCAGAUAUCGGCAUGCCCCUAAGAUACCUACCCCCACUGAUGUGGAUGGACAUGGAAGAUAGAAAAGGACUCCUGUUGUUGAAGCUGUCCUAAAUUGGCAAUCGGAAACUCUUUUAGCAUAUAACAAUGCGUUCAAAGCAAUUGAUUCCAAGAUUGUAAAUGUGCAACAAGAUUUUCGAAAUAUGAUGAAACCACCAAGAAGAUGCUUUCAGAUUUCCAAAAGAGGCUUCAUGCCUUGGAAUCUAGAUAACAUUUAGGGUGUCAUCAUCUCGAAAGUCCUAAGGUGGAAAUAGAGAAGCUCAAAAGGCAAAUUCAACUCCUUGAAGAAGGAAGAUUCAAUCCAUUUCCGACUACUUUGCGGACAGAGCAUCCCCCUCUUCCACUAGCCCAUAACACAUCUAUCUUUGUUGCUAUCACAGAUGUUCUUGUUAGGCAAGAUAAGACAAAUGUGGCUGAAAUGCGAAAUCUUCUCAAAGAACUGGACUGAAUAAGAAAAGAAAAGGGAAAAGAGAAGAUGCCUAAAGAAUCCUUGCUUGUCAUAAGGAAAAAGCCAGAUCAAUUGAUGCUGUCGAAUCUAUUAGAAUCUUUCCGAAGAGAUUUGGGUAAUCAGGAAUCACAGUCUGAUCUUGUUACUCAACAUCUUGAUCCCGUCAUUCCAACAGAUCAGAUUCUAUUUUCAGCAGAACUAGCUUUUCCAAAUAUCUUUGAUACUGAAUUAAAUUCGGUAUCCCUCUUGUCCUCCUCAUCCUUCUCAAUCCCUACCAUUGAUUCCUUCCCUAUUGUACUAGUAAUUUCAUCAAUAUUCAUGAUCGAUCAUCCGGACCAAGAUAUGGAAUCAAACCAUUCUGAACCAAAGGUUGUUUAGCCAAACAAUCCCUCCCAGCACGUGUAUUUUGCAUCAAAAUAGUUUAUUUAUUUAUUUAUUUAUCGUUGAUGACAUUCCCUAUCACAAAUGGCCAUAAAGACUUGAAGAAUUUCAUACUUGGUUAAAUACCCAAACCCUUACCAACCAGGAUAAGUAUGAUGUCAUUUUUGAUUUUGUCACAAGGUUUACAGGUAGCCUCAAAUAUUGGUGGCAAUCUGUGUUAGAACAAGACCGGCUUCAAUUUUUACUCUCACUUGAUUUUGGUCAUGCCAUUAUCCUUCUAUAUCAUUUCUUUGUGGGAAAACCUUUUGACCUCCAAGAGCUUAAAAGGAGAGAAUUUUUCGAAAGAAGAUGCUGCUUCUUCCAGAAAAAAACAUCUUGAUAAAUAUUAUCGAGAAAUGUUUAAGCUCUUCUAUGGUAUUGGAGCUGAUCCAAACCAGAAACGCAUCUUCUUGACUUCCAUCCCCAAAGAAUUGUCUCAAUAGGUGGAGAGAACUUUUCUCAGCAAACAAAGAAGGAUUCAGGAUAUUCCGUUAGGAGAAAUCUAACAAGAAAUUCAUUUGUGCCUUGAAGAAUUGUGUAUCAAAUGCCAAAUGAUCCAGACUUAUGUCGACAAUAACAGAGAACUUGAUAUAGCAUGUUCUCGCCAUAAGCUAAAGAUCAAAUGUUCAAAGCGAGAUUGUGAUGGUUCUUGCGGAAAAUUUUCCAGAAAAAAGCACUUCAAGAAGCUCUGGAUAAUGAAAUCUAGGCGUGGCUCUAAGCAUUUUUGAAGAAAGAAGAAAUGGCGACACCUAUGCAAAAGGAAAGAUCACUCAGGCCACAAGAAGUCAAAUCAAUGCUUCAUCUGCAAUUAGAAAAGACAUUUUGCCAAAAAUUAUCCCCAAGCGAGAAAAUGUCAAAAUCAUAUGAUAUAUCAUAUAGAGAAUGAAACAGGUAAUUCUCUUGAAAAUGAUAAUAUCGAAUCUUUAUUAUCUGAGAAUGAAGAACCAUCUGAAUAAACUCUUUGUGUCAUUCCUUGUUACGAAACUUCUAGUGAAAUUGAUUCGGAUUCAAAUCCUGAAGAUAUUUUUCACAUAUCUCUCACUUCUUCAGAAUAAAGCACUAACAUAUUUUCAAGCUAAAUUCAUUGUCCCCAUUUCCCUGUGAAAAUCUUCACUUCAAAGUUUGCCAAGCCUUUCAUUGUCAUUGCUCUCAUAGAUACUGGAGCAAGUUCUUCAAUCUUGGACACCAAAGUUAUUCUUGAAGAAUAUUGGACUUCCUAUGUUUGAUACUUCAAUUCUACCUCAGGAGAUACUUUUUCUACGAAUGUAAGAACUACCCUAGUAAUCAUCUAAUUUUUUCCACAGUGUUCCAUAACCAUAAAAAUCUCUGGUUCCAGUCUUCCCCACAAGGAUUUGAUCAUUGGCUGGGAUAUCAUGACUAAAAUUUCUCAACUUCGUAUCAUUUCUAGAAAAUGUCUUAAGUAUAAGGACUAAUUUUCUAAAUUCGUCAAUAUCCAAAGACUUUUUUUCCAUCCAAAUGAGCCUGCUAGACCCCAUCAUGCAAAAGUUGUUAAAAUCAUGUUUGGAAUUUCAUUUUGAAUUUGCUCAAAAAUGUUCUCACCCUCUAUGGGAAAAUUUAGAGUUCUUUGUUUGCCUUCCUUUUUUAAAAAAAAAUGAGGAUAUCAAUCUAAACAAGGCGAGUUACAUGGGAAUGAAGUCAGAACACUUGGUUUUAACUCAAAGGGAAUGUUCGGAACUAUUGCAGCAAUGCCUUAUUGAAAUCUCCAAUUCUCAAUGGGCCUGUGAAGCUUUUUUAUGUCAAUAAGCGUGCCGAACAAAAUAGAGGAAAUAUGAGAAUGGUAAUUAACCAUCAGCCUCUUAACAUUUUUUUCCAAGAUGAUAAAUUCCCUUUACUCUCCAGAAAUUCCCUAUUUACUAGAUUAUCCAAAGCCCAUAUUUACUCUAAAUUCAAUCUCAAAGCCAGAUUUUGGCAAUUGUGCAUCCAUCCUAAAUACAGACCCAAGAUAGGGUUCUGUAUCAUGAACCAACAUUUCCAAAUGGAAAGUUAUUCAUUUUGGUCUAAAGGUGGUACUAUCCUUAUUCCAAAAGGUCAUGUGUCGAAUUUUCCAACUAAUUUUGUCAAGUGCAGUAAUAUACAUUGACGAUAUCGUGCUUUACAAUCUUAAUGAGCAGUCACACUGCCAACUUCUUAAACAGUUUGUAGAAAUUGUGUAAAAGCAUGGGAUCAUGCUUUCUCAAAAAAAGAUGAACAUUGUCCAUAUAUAAAUUGAAUUUCUUGGUAUGACCUUAACAAAGGUAUGUAUUAUCCAUGGCCAUAUAUUGCUCAUGAAUUGUUGAAAUUUCCUGAGGAAAAUUUCACAACAAAGCAAGUUCAGCAAUUUCUUGGAAUAAUUAAUUAUCUCAAAGAUUUCGUUCCAAACAUUGCAGAACUGUUGAUUCCAUUGAAAUUGAUGCUGAAAAAGAAUCCCCCACCUUGGAGAAAAUCUCAGACUAAAGCAGUCGUCGAACUUAAGGAGAUUAUGUAGACUCUUCCUCUGUUACAAAUCCCAUCGAUAAGGAAGAUAAUUCUCUAGAUCGGCGCCAGUGAUGAAUACUGGACAGCCAUCUUGUUUGAAGAAAUUGAUGGUAAGAGACAUCUGUGUACCUAGAAAAGUGGAAAAUUUUCCCAAGCUGAAAUGCAUUAUCAUUCCACUUUCAAAGAAAUCUUGGUGAUGAAAAAUGGAAUAAAAAAGUUCGAAUUCCAUCUCAUUGGCCAUCACUUCAUGGUAAAAUUGGAUAUCCUCAGAUGAUCAAGUUCAAACAGAAGCAGAUUUCGAAUUUUCAACUGCUUCAAUGGGCUGAAUGAUUUUCAAAAUACUCUUUUGAAACCAAACAUAUUGCCGGAAAAAAAAAUGUGCUUGCUGACUUCUUGUCAAGACCAAAAGCACCAGUAAAAAUCAACAUGUACAUCAUGAGGCAUGCUUUUCAUAUUCUUCAUAACAAUGAAAAGUAUAAGAUUGAAAGAAUACAAGACUAGUCAAGCUGGCAAUAUUACUAGGAGAUUGUGGAACAAAUCUAGAAUGACUGCCUUAUUGAAAAUUUGGAUAAUCUCAUGUGGCAAUUCCACACAGAUCUGUUUAGAUUUAAUGGGGGUUCGAUUCUUUAUCUUUUUAGAUUAAAUUCAGACUAUCCGUUCAUACAUCCUUUAAUCUGGAAGGAAGAUAAUUUCCCUGACCAACUUCGAUGGUUAUUAUGGUACUUAACCAAUAAGUACUGAAUAGUAUUGAAAUUCCAACUAGAAGAUUUAUUACCAACCUCACUAGGAUAUUUAGACUUGGCAGAUGAAACAUUGAAAAAGAGAGUGACAGAAAUCUCAUAGGUUUCCUUAAUUGGUUUUAUCCCUCUACUCACUGGAAAUACCUCUUGCAGAAAGAGCUGAGAACCACACAACUAAACCCUGAGGUCCAUAUUAUUUUGUUUUUUCGACGACCGUGGGCUUUUGUCACAAAUAAUGGUAGCAGUAGCAAUGCCCCCCAAAUUAUAGGUACCACAUCCUAUAAACCUCAACCACAUAGUGUAGAAGCUCAGAUUUACAAAUCUUAUUUAGAACCCGUUGGUUGCUACGAGCACCAGUAUCGAGAACUCCAAAGGAUUUUGUACUAGGAAAAUAAAAUCAUUCCUAAAGAUGCAUGGAACUAUAAUGUACCCACUGUAUGAGAUUAUUAUAGUCUCACACUAGAAGUUAAGGAAGCACUCGAAAUAUUCAGACAAGUUACAUCAUCACAGGAGCAUGAAAUGGCAGACACAGAUGACAUCGCACAGUCCUCUCAAGAUCCCUAUGUCAAAUGGGGAGGUCCUCUUUCUCAAGAUCCCUAUGACCAAGAAACUUUGUCCUUAUCUCAAAGCAUUGACACAUCCUACUAUACUCAGUCAUCCAAUUGGUCUCAGCUAAGCAUUCUUGCCAACACUACAGGCUCCUCUUAGAAUCAAGCGAAAGCAUCCUCGUCAAAUCAAAUUCUCUCACCAGAUUCACUUGUAGGACUUGAGAAAAAAAUAUGAAGAAUAGCUUAUGUCAAUGUAUAGUUCGGACGACUCAGACUAUGACUAUAAUGCUCGUGAUGGACGAGACUAUUGACCGUACAAGUCACUGUAGCAAGUCACUUUUCACUUUCAUUGUAGCAGUAGACUAGGGAAAUAACUGUUCAUUAUCAAUGUUCAUAUCGUGCGAAUAAUCUCCUAUGCCUUUAUUUGUUUCAAGAUUGUGAGAAUGAUCCUUGUUUAUGUGUGACCUCUUAUUGCCUAUAAAAGACAAGAAUGAUGUAAUGUGUUGGGCAGAGUCCCUUGAAGUAAAGUGAGUAUUUUGUGUAAAACUCUCUAUGGCUUUAUAAACUUAUCUUCUUCUCCAGUCUGGUAGGAUCAUUUGAGAAAUGUAGUUCGGAUAGUUAGAAAUGUUACCAUCCUGGUUCUAUAUGAGUGUUUCUAGACUCUGAACUAAAGGGAAGAGUGGUUUUAUGUUAAAAGGCUGUCUCUGAAGGGCUUGAACGGAAGAGGUUCACCUACUGUGGGGUAUGCCAACUUUUGGCACUUGAAAUAAUCUUUUGCCGAAUUUCACGUUACUCUAAACACCGGAUAUGAUCAAACUUUUACUAUCAAAGUUUUAUCUAGCCCAUCAAAGGCAGUCUUAUGAGAUAGGAUGCAAUGAUAUAAUCUAUGAAUUAGAUCAAACAUUUAUUAAAAGUUUAAGAACGAUAUUUCAUUUUUUGAAUGUUAGGAUGCACGAGUAAGUUAUGUUAAAACAAUCCCACAAUAUAUUGAUAGCUUUGAAAUAAGGCUUUCUCUUGGUGAUGACGAAGAUCCAUAUGGAGAAAUUAAUGGGAGGGUUUGUUUGGCCUAACUAAAUGAGAGGCUAUAUCAGUGGGAGGUUUUUCAUUGUAACCUUGUGCUUGGUAUUUGUAUUUUAGUAAAGGAUUUUGUUAGCAUAAUAGUUUCUGAGUUAUUGUGAGAAUAACAACUUAUUAUGAGUUACAAAAUUUUCUCUUUCUUUUUUUCUUCACUUCCUUCUCCUUCCUCCAACCAAUCAUCACUAGUGAUUGGCAAGAGGCAAGGUUGGUGAGGUACCUCGCUGGUCUCGAGGAAGCUUGACCAUGGUUAGGCAACCUUGCUCAUGGCUAGGCGACCUCGCCUAGGCCGCCAACUGGGCUGGUGAGGGUUGACCCUCGACGGCCAUGGGUGAGGACAAAUGCCGCUAGUUGGGCUUGCGAGGCUCGCCCUUAUUGAAUUUGGCGAGAGUUGAGUCUCAUUGGCCAUGGGUAAGGUCAAAGGCCGUGACCUCACGUGGUCUUUGGUGAGGCUUGCCAAAGGUUGGGCAAGGCUCACCGUCGUUGGACUGAUGAGGGUCGAGUCUCGUCGGCCAUGGGUGAGAUUGCAACUUGCCCAUGGCCGGCGAGGUGAGCCUAGGCCAAAGGCAGGCGAGACCUUGCCUAACCAUGGCGAGGGUGGCCUCACCAUUGUUGGGUGAGGCUCACCCUUGCUAGUGGUGUGUGGGGGUAAGCCUUGCCAUUGGUUGGCGAGGCUAACCUUGCUGGCUUGAGUAAAAUAAAAUAUUAUUAAAAGAUUAUCUACAUCAAUAUUAGUUGGACGAGCGGUGUUGGUCGGCCAAAAUUUCUGAAUGAAUUGAAUAGUAUAAUUGCAAAAUGUUUGGGAUUGAAUUGGCUAAAAAAAAAGGUCUAAGUUUGAAUUGGAAAAAUUACAAUAAGUUUAUGAUUGUUUUGGUACGUCCUCCCUAUAUGGGAAGGAUCGUGACUAUGCUUCAAUUGAUGUAAGCAAGUGCAUCUUCACAGCCACUACCGCUCCCCUCCUACUCUUUGUAGCUUAUGCUACUCCCCUCUUAUAAAUCUCGGCUCGCCUGACGCCUUCGCCAUUGUGUAGGGAACGAGCGAGCUCGAGCUAGACCACAGUAAUGGCGGCAUCGACAAUGACGAUAAGGAGGAUCAAGUUGGGGUUGCAGGGCCUGCAGGUGUCGGUGCAAGGGCUGGGCUGCAUGGGCAUGUCCGCCUUUUACGGGCCACCCAAGUCGGAGCCCGACAUGAUCGCCCUCAUCCACCAUGUCGUCGGCUCUGGCGUCACCUUCCUUGACACCUCCGACAGCUACGACCCCCACACCAAUGAAAUCCUCCUUGGAAAGAUCGGUUCUCUCAGUCUCUGUUUUGCCUUCGCAUGAACUAUAUGUGCUUAUAAUGUUACGGAAUGUAGCUUCAUCGAGCAGAGUGCUUUGAUCCUGCGCCUUGGUUUUCUGAUUUCGGGGUUGAUUUUGAGCAGGCACUAACGGGAGGGGUGAGGCAAAAGGUGGAAUUGGCGACCAAGUUCGGAAUCAGCUUCGCGGAUGAGAAGAAAGAGGUCCAGGGCGAUCCGGCAUACGUGAGGGCGGCUUGCAAUGCCAGCUUGAAGCGACUUGACAUCGAUUGCAUCAACCUCUACUACCAGCACCGUAUCGACACUCGCGUCCCCAUUGAAGUCACUAUAUGGAUCCCUUAUCAAACUUUCACCUCGCUUGAGACUUUCUCCGAGCCAUAUGAUUAGUUGCUAAAUUAGAUUGGUGUUGAUGAUGCAUCGUCAUGUUGUUACAAGUUUGUUGAAUUUUGUUAAAUGACACUUAAGUUCAGCUGAUAGCAAAGCUCAAGAUGCGGCACGGUGUUGUUCAGGGGUUGUGGAAUUUAGUAGUUUAAUGGCUUGAGUUUUCGUUUUGUGGGCAUCCUUUACAAGUUAAGGGUCAACAAGCAUGAAAAUCAUUCGAAAUCUUCCUUACCUUUGAGAUGAAAGUGCUCCGGGGUUCAUCCUGAUUUUUUUUUUUUUUGGUGGUGAAAGUAAGUAAUUGUAUUAAGCUUUGCCAACUAUACAAGAUGAAAUCUUGGCACCAAAACUUGCACUCAGAAUGACAUGACGUCAAUGCGAGUGGAAGGAUGCUGAGAUGAAAAAUAGCAAGCAAUAAACGGUGUUGACACCUAAAUUUUGGCGAUCCGAUUAUUUAUUUAUUACAUAAAAAUUAUGGGUCAAUUUGUCUCUUAAAAAAUAUUAAUUACAUAUAGAUUUAGGUGCAUUUAUUUUUAAUUUAAUUUUUUUGUAUUUUAUUGGAUCGAUGGUGGAUGGAUUCAAAUUAAUGGUUAUGAAUUUUAAAUUGACAAAUCGAACUAAGUUCACGAAUAUAAGAAAUUGGCGCAAGCCCGUAUUUGAAAAAAUUCUAUUGUAAUUUUUGAAAAAUCAAUAGAAAACAUUCAUUUUUGCAAAGGAAAUCAAGAAGAGCUGUGGAAAAUAAAAAGUGAUAUUACGUGCGGAAAAGAAAUCUUUGCAGAUGUUGAUUUAAAAAGGAAAUUAAAAUCCUAAUUUUUGGUCUAUAAAAAAGUAACUUAGUAUAGGGUUUUGGGGAGGCUACACAUGGAAUACACAGCCAGUGGAGGGCGAAAUUCGAAAAAAUUUGGAGAGCAAACGCGAGGGGGCUUUUUCCUUCGGUUGAUUGGAGUUGAGAAUUCAAGAAAAAAGAAGAAGAAAGAAUUCGUUUGUUUGUGAAAAAAGGCAGCAAAAGUGUGCAGAAAAAAAGGAAGAGACAGAGACGGGACAGGGAAGAGUGAUGUGAGAGAGAGACGUGGAGUAGAAUAAAAAAGAAAAAAGAAAGUAAAAACAGGGAAGACUGUUCAUCCUCGCAAGCGCCUCAACCGCUGUCGCCGAUCCCUUUCGCCCGCACCGGCCCGCGACCUGCAGCCGCCGCGCUCCGUCGCCGCCUCACCCGAGCCGCCGACCACCACCGCUCGCUGCUCACACUACCGCUGUCCCGAUCUGCCCGCUCGAGCGUCCCUACGCCGGCAGAUCUGAGCUGCUCGCCACUCCACCGCCGCGCGAGUUCCCGCACCGGUCCGCGCCUCCUCUGCUGCUCGUGCCGUGCCACCACCAGGGUUCCUCUCGCUCGCGAGCUCGCACCGCCGCCCCGCUGUGCUGAUCCGCGACGACCCGACGCUCCGCUGCUGCUGCUGCUGCACCUUCGCAGGUCACCCCACCAGCACCACCGUUCGUCGCCCUGGCUGUAGGCGCGACGACUCGACACCGCCUCUGCUCAGUCACUCCUUCACCCGCUCCUGCUGCAGCACCAGUCGCUGCAACCUCCGCCGUCGCUCUUGCAUCCGACCCGACGCCAGCAGCAACGAUCCAGAUCCGGCGCCUGCUGCAGCCACAGCCCGACGCCGCUCCUCUGCCCGCGACCCAAGACCGGACGCCCAGGUCCGACGCCCUGCAGCUCCCUCUCUGAGUGACUCCCGCGACUUCCCUCACCGGAGCAACCCACCACGUUGCUGCUUCGCUUGAAAAAAAGAAAAAGAAAAAGAAAACAAAAAAAGAAAAAUCAAUUUAGGUAAUUUUUCCUUUUAUUUAUCUAUCUUAUUUUAUUAUUUUUGUUAUUUAACUUUAUUUGUUCUUUUUCAGUAUAAUUAUUCCUUAGUGUAAGGAUGAGAUGUUCGACAUGAAAUAGCCUGUGAAAUUUGUGAUUGUCAGUCCGAUUUUCACGCCUAAAAUCCGACUUGCAAUCACUUAAAAAAAAUCGCUAAUCCGAUCUUCCGCCUAAGAUUCAAUUCGCGAUUUAUGUGAAAUUGACCAACUCGAUUUCAUGCGCGAGAUAUAAUUCGUCAAUUUGGAUAUCAUCUUGCUCCGAUUUGUUGUCGUGUCAUUUAAUUAAAUUUGCUUUCAUAAAAAAAAAAUGUAGGUUAGAAUUAGGUUUAUUCCCUAUUUUAGGGUUUACAUAUUUAAAAUAUGAAUUUUAUUUCGAAUUUUUUUUUAAAAAAUAAUAAUAAAUUAAAAAAUCAAAAAUCAAAUCAAUUAAUUUAGGUUGCUAGUUUUUUUUUUUUUUUUUUAAAACUUGGAUUGCAUGUUUAAUUGUUUGGCAAUUAUUAAUUUCGAAAUUAAUAAAACAAAAACGCAACAAAAAAUCAUCAUGCAUAUGUCAUAUAGAAUUAGGGCAUCUUUUGUAUGUCAUUGCAUAUUAGGGUAAAAUUGCUAAUAUUUUUCUUAAUUUAUUAUAAGUUUAGGUAUUUUCUUAGAUAGAUUGCAUUUUAGGAUUGCUUGGGUUAGGAUAAUAUUCUAAUUUAAAUUAGGAUUUGGCUUAACCUAAUUCCUAAUACAAAUUGAAUAGAAUCUUAAUCUAGUUAGAUAAUUUUCACAUUUAAUCUAAUUUCGAAUUUCAUGAAAAAUACAAAAAAAAAGUCUUAGAAUAAAUUGGUUUUAUUCUCUAGGAUAAAUUGCAUUCUCUUUAAGGAAAAAAGAAGAAAAAUAUCAUGUGCAUGCCAUAUAAGAUUAGACUCAUGAGAUGCAUACCAUUUAGUGAUUGUUGCUAGUCCAUUUAAUUAGAAAUUGCAUAUCAUUAGAAUUAGGUCAUUUAGUUAUAUUGCAUUGCAUAUUAUAUGAUUUUCAUUAAAUAAGUGAAAAUAAAGAAAUUGCGUAUUGAUUAGAAAUUAUAUUUAAAACCGUCGAUGUGAAUUUUGAUAUAACAUUGUAGAUGCUUUCGUUGCUAUGAAAUGACUAUUACAAUUUAUUCAUUAUUUAUCUGGGUGUUAAAUUGGUGGUUUGCGCACUCAUAUGAUCACUUCAUAUGUUAAAAAAAUAGAUUUAAAAUCAAUCCAAAUUGCAUGUAAAAACAUUUUUGAAAAUAAAAAGAAGUGGUACCGAAAGGGUAUUAGAGAAUCUAGCAUAAUUAAGUCUCUGAACUCAUAAAUCUCUAAUUCGUAGGAGUGAAGUAAAUCUCCCGUUACUUUAUUUGAAGAUUAAUGGCGACUCCUAACUGAAAUAUCGUUUGUAUGUUAAGAACUUAAACCCAAGUUGCAAAUUGGUAUGGCUUGGGAGAGCUUGAGUUAGGUCUAGGCUUAACAAUUCAUUAGCCAAACCUUAGGUGAUACACACCUGAAAAUUUGGUCGCGACAAAUGGUAACAGCCACCACACAGCAAAGAAGAGCCAAACAACGGCCACCACUAGCAACCAAAGCAAAAAACAAAAGGCAACCGAGGGAUCAAACAGACGCAGCCAGAUCACCCCAAGCACCAAACCAAAAAGGGAAAGGCACAGUUCAAGCGUCCCAGUUGAGAGAAGCCGUGACCGACACGAACCAGGGGAGGAGGAAUCUUCAGUGAAACAGCCAACCCCAAGGACCUCGGCGGUAGCUCAGCACAAGAAUGUCCACCCUAGAAGGGUAUCCAGUUAGAAGGAGAUGGAUGAUGGAACAACCAUUCUCAAGGAUCGAACUCGCCGCUGAAAUAGCAGCUACAUGGAAAUCAGCUUCGUAGAUUUGAUCAAGAAUCACCUAAAGAGAAAACAAUCGGAUCAAUGCCCCAGGCACGCUGGAGUAUCCUGUUCCUCGCGGUACUAUCGACAUUUCUGAAAGUUAGAGCCUUAUCCCGGACAACCCUAAGGAGAUGGUUCUUCAGGGCCGGGAUCGUAGGAGUUAGCUCUCUAAACAAAAUAUCAUUCCUGUUCUUUCAUAUAAUGUGACAGAGGGCUCCAAGGGGUUCAUCCUGAAUUUAUAUACAGGAAUCACAGAUAAAGUUGUUCCUGGACUUUAUGCGGAGACAUUUGAUUCUUGACAUAUUGUGAAAUAUGACAAGUACUUGGAAUACUUCUUUUAUUUGCUCUCUUCUGUGAGAGAUUCAGGAAAUCUACCUCCGUUAACUCAAUACCUUGUGACUUUUUUGUUGCAUUGUGAUGCAUGAUAAUUGAGGGAUCUAGACACAUAAAAAGCUAAUGCCAUGCAUAAUUUUCUGGAUCUUAACAUGUAAGAUCUUUCGUCCAAAAAAAAAAAAAAACAUGUAAGAUCUUGAUUUUGUUGUUUUGUCAUGUGAAUAUGCAUAGAUCGGAGAGCUAAAGAAGCUCGUGGAAGAGGGUAAGAUAAAGUACAUCGGUUUAUCCGAGGCCUCUGCCUCAACAAUCAGAAGAGCACAUGCUGUUCAUCCCAUCACAGCGGUGCAAUUGGAGUGGUCGCUUUGGUCAAGAGAUGUGGAGGCAGAGAUCGUUCCAACGUGCAGGUAGGAUAUCACUCUGUUAAUUGUUUAUGCAGCAACAACAGCUUCCUUCUGACUCUGCUUUUCCUUUAAAAUGUUGACUAGGGAGCUUGGCAUUGGAAUUGUUGCCUACAGUCCUUUAGGACGAGGAUUCUUUUCUGUUGGCUCCAAGUUGGUGGAGAAUAUCUCUAAGGAUGACUUCAGACAGGUCUGUUCCUGCUUGUCAACAUAAUUAGAUGCCAGUAUCGGGCUUUGGCCCUCCGUCCUUUUUCAUUCUCAUCUUUCUUCACAAGAUAAACUAUAUCUUGACACAACCAUUUCUUGAGUAAGGACUCCUAGCACCCUUCUUAUGAGAGUUUUGGCUCAAGUUCCCAUCUGACAUAAAGCCAAUUGUGUAUUACUCCCCGCCAUUAGCGUUUGACUAGCGAUAGUGCUGGGCAAGUGAAGUAGCUAUUUUUUUUUUUUUGUAGCUAAAAGAGCUUUGCGUCUGAUAACGUUCUUCUACACAUCAUCUACAUUUCUGAUUUUUAUUUUAUGUGUGACUCAGGAAAAUGAUAAUUGCUCAUAUGCUCUCUGCUGAGACAUUGCUCUAUGUUAUGCAGUAUCUACCAAGGUUCCGGCCAGAGAACUUGGCUCACAACACGAAGUUAUUUGACCGAGUGAAUGGAAUUGCACAAAGAAAGGGAUGCACCACAUCGCAGUUAGCCCUCGCCUGGGUACACCACCAGGGUGAUGAUGUUUGCCUGAUUCCCGGCACGACCAAGAUCGAGAAUUUCAACUAGAACAUUGGAGCUCUGUCAGUGAAGCUUACACCGGAAGAGAUGGCCGAGCUUGAAUCGAUUGCUUCUGCAGACAGUGUCAAGGGUGGCAGGUACGAUGGAAGCAUGUCUACAUGGGAAAACUCCGACACUCCACCCCUUUCUUAAUAAAAUUAUGUGUUUUUCUAGUAAGGGAUGUUGCGAAAACUUUAUUGUCUUUUGCAUGCGUAAUUAUAACUAUGAGUGUAACUAUGCGUAAUUACAACAUGUGGCGUCACACAAUCCUCAGCACUUGAAUUGGGGUCUAUCAAGGUAGUGCUUGAGUCUAUGAUGCUCAAGCUCUAUUCAAUAGCACUUAGGCUCGGGUCCGCAAAGAUUGUGCAUCAGUCCUCAAUGCUUGAGGUCGGCUCGUUAGUUAAUAAAACGUUUGUUCUUAUAAAAAUAAUUAUUUUUAAAAAAUCUAUUUUUUUAUAUUAUUUGUUUUCUUUCUUUUUAUUUUCCUUCUUCUCGGCUAGUUGCCAACCAUGGCGCCGAUUGCGCCUGAUAACAAGCACCGGAUGAGCUAGCCCAAGGCCAAGAAGACUUGAGAUUGCUGAUUUGGCAAGCUUGAAGCUGGUCAAGUGCAAGCUCGAGUUUCGCCCCGUGGCUAGUCGCCAACUACCACCGUGGCUAGCGUUCGGUCGAGGAAGAAGAAAAAGAAAAAUAAGUAAAAAUCUGAAUAUUUUGUAAUCUUCUAUAGGGAAAUCAAAUAAGAUUUUUCAUAUUAAACGAUAAAAAAUAUUUUCUAGUUUAUUUUUAAGACUUAACCAAAUAUUGAAAAUGACUUUUUGUAAAAUAUUAUUCAAAUAUGUCAUAUUUUUUGCGAAACAAACGGUACAUAAAUUUAAAUUUGAUAAUUGUCCUUGUUAAUUUGGUACACAUUAUCUGUCUCUUUGUUUUGUUGCUGAACUGAUGCUAAUCUCUAGAUGAAGCUUGACUAGUUUCAAUAGGCGGCUUGACUUUUGCGCUUCCUUUUUUUUAAAACCCAAAACACUCAAAACUUUCGUGAUACACGACUUUCGACAUGCAGAGUUACAAUCACUUCAAAUAAUUUAUCUGAAAAUUGUAUAGUGGGCCAUCCGAGAAAGGUGAGGGCAACUUGUCCCCCUAGAAAUUGUCAUGACGUGGAACUCUUGACAUGAAUUGAAGUGACUUUUGUUAAGAGUUAACUAGUCAAGAUCGGGCCACAUCUGUCCAUUCAUGUCCGCCACAUCCGGCCCCUCCAAUCGGACUCCCCGGCGAAAAGAUUCACGGACACGUGGCUGGAUCUAGAAAGUCACGGGUUUGACUUGUCUUUUGUGUCACUAUCAAGAAUGUGCAUGGUCCGGACGGGCGAUUCCCGACCUAGAAUCGGGAACUGCUUGCUAAGGACCGAUUCCAAAACAUUGAAACGGAGAUCCACCAGUUAGUUGAAUGAAUCCACUUGGGAACCAGAUCGCUGAUUCAGUCCGAUUUCUAGGUGGAUCUAUGGAACCGAUCUUGACGCUAAAUAAUUUUAUUUUCAAUAUAGAACGACUACGUGAUUUCCAUAACAACAGCUGGAGAGGUUGUAGAAGGAUAUCAUGGUAGGCACUUACGAUAAUCGUGAGGAAAUGAUAGCAAUUUUGGUUAAACUUGUUUUCUAUCAUGGCUAUCAUGGGUCGAAUAAAAUUUUGCAAGCAAAUUUCGUGUCCUAGGCAUUUUUUUUCUCUUAGGUGUGAUGCUUUAAAAACCCUCUAUGUGAUGCUUAGGAACCUUUGUUUGUGAUGAAGCCUAAAGAUUUAUUCCUUGUUGUGGACUUGUUGUCCUACAUCAAAAUCUCUCAGUCAAACUUUUUUGCUUUGUUUUGGUAAGUCUGUAUAAGGUAUAUUACAGAAGUUGCAUUACGAGAUAUUUCUUCCUUAUUGUCUUUUUAGUUUAACUAAGGCCAAAUUGUUUUGGCAUUUUUCCAAGCAUUUCAUUAUGGAAUGAUGAUAAGAAGCGAUCUUGACUUAAUGCUUUUAGUUAUUUGAUUUGGAUUUAUUAAUUAGUAAUUUCAUUUUUUAAUAUUAAAAAUUAAUAUAUUAUUUUAAUAUAAUCGGUUCGGUCUAGGUGGGCGGGUAGAUAGAUCCGCUCAUGGAACUGGGAACCAGACUGGUACUCACCGGUUCCCAUAAAUUGGAAUCGAGAACCGGACCGGUUCCCUUAAAAACUACCGGUUCUGGGCGGUCCAAGCGGGUUUCGGUUAUUUUGCACAAAGAAUUAAAAAUUCAAUUUUUUUUAAAAAUAUUUUAAAAAGAAUUAUAAAAAUUUUCAUUAAAUUUGUAUUGCAUAAAAAUGUUUUAACAAUACUUUUUUUUAAAUAAAAAAAUCAUAAAAACGAGCUUUUUAAGGGUUAAUUAUUUUUUUUAUGUUAUUGUUUUUAGUUAUUCAAAGGUAUGUUUACUUCAAAUAAGGGAAGCAUGUGCAUAGUUUAAUUCUUUAUAAAUAUUUAAAUGUUUUUUUAAACUUUUCUUAUUUUAUUUUAUUUUCUAUUUUUAAUUUAAUUUGAAGAUUUAAUCUAAUUAGCAUAUAAUAGAAGUGGAUUUUCCUAAAAUAUUAAGAGGUUUUAGCAAUACGAGUUGGAUCGGGUAUGUGUCGGGUAUAUAUGAAUAUGGAUCAGAAUAAGUUAAAUAGAUCAAAUAUGAGUUCAUUCGUUUUCGACCGGACUCAAAUCCGGCUUGAUCCGGUUUCGACCCAACCCAAAUCCGACUCGAUCCACUCAUUUAACGGGUCUAGAUUGAAUUGACGUAAGCACGUGCGUCUUCGUAGCUACUGCCGCUCCCCUCCUAUAAAUCUCGGCUCGCCCGACAUCUUAGCCAUCGUCACGGUGCAGUGCAGGGAACGAGCGAGCUCGAGCUAGACGACGGCAAUGGCAGCGUCGACGACGACGGUGGGGAGGAUCAAGCUGGGGUCGCAGGGCAUGGAGGUGUCGGCGCAGGGGCUGGGCUGCAUGGGCAUGUCCAUCGGCUACGGCCCUCCCAAGCCCGACCCCGACAUGAUCGCCCUCAUCCACCACGCCGUCGGCUCCGGCGUCACCUUCCUCGACACCUCCGACAUCUACGGCCCCCACACCAACGAAAUCCUCCUCGGAAAGG